RNAcentral lists this ribosomal RNA (537 nucleotides) under Alteromonas sp. RNAcentral describes it as "bacterial SSU rRNA". It matches the Rfam family "Bacterial small subunit ribosomal RNA", at positions 374 to 907 of the family's 1533-position model. Lineage: Bacteria; Pseudomonadati; Pseudomonadota; Gammaproteobacteria; Alteromonadales; Alteromonadaceae. The record is from RNAcentral.
GGGACCUGAUGCAGCCAUGCCGCGUGUGUGAAGAAGGCCUUCGGGUUGUAAAGCACUUUCAGUUGUGAGGAAAGGUUGGUAGUUAAUACCUGCCAGCUGUGACGUUAACAACAGAAGAAGCACCGGCUAACUCCGUGCCAGCAGCCGCGGUAAUACGGAGGGUGCGAGCGUUAAUCGGAAUUACUGGGCGUAAAGCGCACGCAGGCGGUUUGUUAAGCUAGAUGUGAAAGCCCCGGGCUCAACCUGGGAUGGUCAUUUAGAACUGGCAGACUAGAGUCUUGGAGAGGGGAGUGGAAUUCCAGGUGUAGCGGUGAAAUGCGUAGAUAUCUGGAGGAACAUCAGUGGCGAAGGCGGCUCCCUGGCCAAAGACUGACGCUCAUGUGCGAAAGUGUGGGUAGCGAACAGGAUUAGAUACCCUGGUAGUCCACACCGUAAACGCUGUCUACUAGCUGUUUGUGAAUUUAAUUCGUGAGUAGCGAAGCUAACGCGCUAAGUAGACCGCCUGGGGAGUACGGCCGCAAGGUUAAAACUCAAAUG